AGAGAACGCUGGCGGUAGGCCUAACACAUGCAAGUCGAACGGCAGCACAGUAAGAGCUUGCUCUUACGGGUGGCGAGUGGCGGACGGGUGAGGAAUACAUCGGAAUCUACUUUUUCGUGGGGGAUAACGUAGGGAAACUUACGCUAAUACCGCAUACGACCUACGGGUGAAAGCAGGGGAUCUUCGGACCUUGCGCGAUUGAAUGAGCCGAUGUCGGAUUAGCUAGUUGGCGGGGUAAAGGCCCACCAAGGCGACGAUCCGUAGCUGGCCUGAGAGGAUGAUCAGCCACACUGGAACUGAGACACGGUCCAGACUCCUACGGGAGGCAGCAGUGGGGAAUAUUGGACAAUGGGCGCAAGCCUGAUCCAGCCAUACCGCGUGGGUGAAGAAGGCCUUCGGGUUGUAAAGCCCUUUUGUUGGGAAAGAAAAGCAGCAGGUUAAUACCCCGCUGUUCUGACGGUACCCAAAGAAUAAGCACCGGCUAACUUCGUG
Molecule: ribosomal RNA, 492 nt
Filed under: uncultured bacterium
Lineage: Bacteria
Description: partial 16S ribosomal RNA
Rfam family: Bacterial small subunit ribosomal RNA
Source: RNAcentral